AUUGAACGCUGGCGGAAUGCUUUACACAUGCAAGUCGAACGGCAGCACGGGAGCUUGCUCCUGGUGGCGAGUGGCGAACGGGUGAGUAAUGCGUCGGAACGCGCCGAGUAAUGGGGGAUAACGCAGCGAAAGUUGUGCUAAUACCGCAUACGCCCUGAGGGGGAAAGUGGGGGAUCGCAAGACCUCACGUUAUUCGAGCGGCCGACGUCUGAUUAGCUAGUUGGUGGGGUAAAGGCCUACCAAGGCGACGAUCAGUAGCGGGUCUGAGAGGAUGAUCCGCCACACUGGGACUGAGACACGGCCCAGACUCCUACGGGAGGCAGCAGUGGGGAAUUUUGGACAAUGGGGGCGAACCCUCGAUCCAGCCAUUCCGCGUGAGUGAAGAAGG
RNAcentral lists this ribosomal RNA (388 nucleotides) under uncultured bacterium. Its description in RNAcentral is "bacterial SSU rRNA". It matches the Rfam family "Bacterial small subunit ribosomal RNA", at positions 29 to 414 of the family's 1533-position model. The record is from RNAcentral.